CUUUCUUAUUCCCCACGUGUUCUUUUUCAAUUCAGCCCCCUUAUUCCUAAAUAUUAUGCAAUAAAAGACUUUUGCCCUUCUCAUUCUCAGUUAAACUGCCUAAUCCAGGGGAAAUCAACCUUUUAGUAGCACUGCGACAAAACGCGAUCCUGAAGUCUAUUGGUGUGCGAGUCCUAUUUUUUCAAAUUGAGGCGUGUAUUACCAUAUCCUGCUUGUGUUAUUUAUGGGUUCUGCAGUUGCCUUUAAGCGUUGUUUUUGUGUGUAUGUG
Pelobates cultripes (western spadefoot toad) is the source of this 268-nucleotide non-coding RNA. The record is from the annotation of a GenBank genome assembly. Lineage: Eukaryota; Metazoa; Chordata; Amphibia; Anura; Pelobatidae.